Long non-coding RNA from Gordionus sp. m RMFG-2023, 740 nucleotides. RefSeq lists it as uncharacterized. The transcript has 5 exons. NCBI's taxonomy places the organism in Eukaryota, Metazoa, Nematomorpha, Gordioida, Chordodea, Parachordodidae. The record is from RefSeq and is a predicted model, not a curated record.
UUUAUUUAGUAAAUUUUCUUAGGGAAAUUUUUGGGAAAAAUAAGAGAAUAUAUAAUCAGGAAAUGUCAGGAAAAAUUAGAAGAAAUAAGCAAAUAAUAUUAUUAAAAUAAGAAAAUCGAUUGACAAAUAAAUACGGGAUUGAGCCUAUAAAAGAAGAGUCUGUAAAAAGCGAAGAAGAUUAAAUUCGCAACAAGAAUUCAUGUUUGCAUAAAUAACAAUCUCGGCAUUGGAACCAAUAUUCAUUUUGAUAGUGUCCUUUUUUGCCACAUACCAAGCAUCAUUCUUUUUUUCUAGCGAUAUUUAUAUAUAUUUAAUAUUUUUUUUGCUUUUCUAUUAUUUGUUUGUAUAGUGUGGUAUUUUUUAUAUAGAGAUGAUGUCAAAAUUGAUAAUGCCAUUUGAUUUCUAAUAAUAUCAUAACUCGACACUGAUAUCUUCAAAAUUCUACCAUGGCCGUACUAUAGUUUUAAGAAUAUAAAAAUUUGAUUUUAUUAUAUUAUUUUGUGUUUGGGUAAAAUAUUAAUGAUAGCAAGCUUGGCUUGUACAAAAUUGAAAAUCAAAGGAUAUUUGGUUCCAAUGAAUCAAAUUCAAUUGUUAAAAAAUUGUCUGAUUUAGUUGUAAAAUAAUGGAACUGACAUUUUGAAUGUUUUUUCUAAAGCUCAAGAUUUCAUGAAAGGAAGAUUUGUCUUCUAAUUUUAAAGGUUAUAAGUUUCAUAUAUUUCAAUCCAAAAAGGAAGGGUAUA